Molecule: ribosomal RNA, 558 nt
Filed under: Shigella sonnei
Lineage: Bacteria; Pseudomonadati; Pseudomonadota; Gammaproteobacteria; Enterobacterales; Enterobacteriaceae
Description: partial 23S ribosomal RNA
Rfam family: Bacterial large subunit ribosomal RNA
Source: RNAcentral
AUACAGGGUGACAGCCCCGUACACAAAAAUGCACAUAUUGUGAGCUUGAUGAGUAGGGCGGGACACGUGGUAUCCUGUCUGAAUAUGGGGGGACCAUCCUCCAAGGCUAAAUACUCCUGACUGACCGAUAGUGAACCAGUACCGUGAGGGAAAGGCGAAAAGAACCCCGGCGAGGGGAGUGAAAAAGAACCUGAAACCGUGUACGUACAAGCAGUGGGAGCACGCUUAGGCGUGUGACUGCGUACCUUUUGUAUAAUGGGUCAGCGACUUAUAUUCUGUAGCAAGGUUAACCGAAUAGGGGAGCCGAAGGGAAACCGAGUCUUAACUGGGCGUUAAGUUGCAGGGUAUAGACCCGAAACCCGGUGAUCUAGCCAUGGGCAGGUUGAAGGUUGGGUAACACUAACUGGAGGACCGAACCGACUAAUGUUGAAAAAUUAGCGGAUGACUUGUGGCUGGGGGUGAAAGGCCAAUCAAACCGGGAGAUAGCUGGUUCUCCCCGAAAGCUAUUUAGGUAGCGCCUCGUGAAUUCAUCUCCGGGGGUAGAGCACUGUUUCGGCA